CGAUGUGAGGGGCAUCUAGCUGUAACAUCUGUCUACUCUCAUUGAUUGCCUGAGUUGAAUCAGCUGAUCUGGUUGGCUAGGUGGGUGUCCCCUUCCUCCCUCACUGGACCAUGUGCGUCUCUCCAGAAGGAUGACCUUCCUCAAAUAGAGACAGAACCUUCAGACAAGCUCUCAUCAUGUUAAGCAGCUAUUGAGUGAAUGAUUGACCUUAGUGACUGAACAGCUUGGAAACAGUGUAAACAAUAUUCAGUCUGUACCUGUUGAUUAAUAAUUAACAUCCUUUUUACUUUUGUUCCAUGCUUGAUGGAUAGUAUAGGACA
RNAcentral lists this small nuclear RNA (320 nucleotides) under Erinaceus europaeus (western European hedgehog). Its description in RNAcentral is "7SK RNA (ENSEEUG00000022799.1)". The stretch from base 1 to 170 matches the Rfam family "7SK RNA". From Rfam's summary of the family: 7SK was discovered as an abundant small nuclear RNA in the mid-70s but a possible function has only recently been suggested. Two independent studies have found that 7SK RNA binds the CDK9/cyclin T complex (known as elongation factor P-TEFb). Lineage: Eukaryota; Metazoa; Chordata; Mammalia; Eulipotyphla; Erinaceidae. The record is from RNAcentral.